GACGAACGCUGGCGGCGUGCUUAACACAUGCAAGUCGAACGGUGAAGCGAGUGCUUGCACUCGUGGAUCAGUGGCGAAAGGGUGAGUAACACGUGAGUAACCUGCCCAUCACUCUGGGAUAAGCACUGGAAACGGUGUCUAAUACUGGAUACGACCAACCCUUGCAUGGGGUGUUGGUGGAAAGAUUUAUCGGUGAUGGAUGGACUCGCGGCCUAUCAGCUUGUUGGCGGGGUAAUGGCCCACCAAGGCGACGACGGGUAGCCGGCCUGAGAGGGUGACCGGCCACACUGGGACUGAGACACGGCCCAGACUCCUACGGGAGGCAGCAGUGGGGAAUAUUGCACAAUGGGCGAAAGCCUGAUGCAGCGACGCCGCGUGAGGGAUGACGGCCUUCGGGUUGUAAACCUCUUUCAGCAGGGAAGAAGCGAAAGUGACGGUACCUGCAGAAGAAGCACCGGCUAACUACGUG
RNAcentral lists this ribosomal RNA (469 nucleotides) under uncultured bacterium. Its description in RNAcentral is "partial 16S ribosomal RNA". It matches the Rfam family "Bacterial small subunit ribosomal RNA", at positions 28 to 507 of the family's 1533-position model. The record is from RNAcentral.